This 433-nucleotide ribosomal RNA is filed under the name uncultured bacterium. RNAcentral's name for it is "partial 16S ribosomal RNA". It matches the Rfam family "Bacterial small subunit ribosomal RNA", at positions 29 to 507 of the family's 1533-position model. The record is from RNAcentral.
AACGAACGCUGGCGGCAGGCCUAACACAUGCAAGUCGAGCGCGCCCUUCGGGGUGAGCGGCGGACGGGUGGGUAACGCGUGGGAACGUGCCAUUUUCUACGGAAUAGCCUCGGGAAACUGAGAGUAAUACCGUAUACGCCCUUUGGGGGAAAGAUUUAUCGGAAAAGGAUCGGCCCGCGUUGGAUUAGGUAGUUGGUGGGGUAAUGGCCUACCAAGCCGACGAUCCAUAGCUGGCUUGAGAGGAUGAUCGGCCACACUGGGACUGAGACACGGCCCAGACUCCUACGGGAGGCAGCAGUGGGGAAUCUUAGACAAUGGGGGCAACCCUGAUCUAGCCAUGCCGCGUGAGUGAUGAAGGCCUUAGGGUUGUAAAGCUCUUUCAGCUGGGAAGAUAAUGACGGUACCAGCAGAAGAAGCCCCGGCUAACUCCGUG